UGGUGCUGAAAUCUUGCUGCCUGAGUAUUACAAAAAUGUCUGAUUGGAAAAAAGUCAAAAAGAAAUGACGCAGCCUCGACAAACAUUUUCUCAGUGUUAGUAACUAGUUUCUAGUCCUCUUCAUUUCAGGCACUUUGUGAAUUAAGGCUCUGUUUGAACUCUAAGUGAAGCUAGAGUAGGGCACAUUCUCAAACAUGGCGUCUUACGGCUGACAAGUCACUUGCCUUUUUAAUCUUUCAUUGUGAAGCACUUUGUGACCCCUGUUCUUGAGAGGUGCUAUGUAAAUAAACUUAACUUACUCACUCACUUUACUAGCUGCCUGAAAAGGACAUGGCAAAUACCCAAACAGUUGACUUGAAGAGUGAUUGUUGGGGGGUGCCAAAAUGUUGCGUUGCACACAUUUUUAAUGAAUUUUUAUUCAUAAAGCGCCCUAUCUGAAGACGCUUUCCAAAAGAGCAGGUCUUGGGAAAUCCCUACAAGUACAGGAUAGGGAAUCAGUAUUUUUAUGUUAGGAAACUCCAGUUUUACAUCACUCUAGAAUAACAUGACCUUCAUAUUUAAGUACCAUUCUUUAAAAUGUUCAUAUGGUAGCAGUAAAGUUGUCCUGUUUUAUUUGAGGAGAUGUUUCAUUUAUUUCAGUUGUUUAGGAAACAUUUCUUGAUUUAUUUUGCCGUUUUCUUGUCUCUUGUAUAAAAGUUUGCAUCUGGGUCCCCUUUCCCUCAUCAAACUGCAACUGGUACUGUUUUUGUAUGUAGUUCAGAUAUCUAAGUCUUUCUUUAUGAUAUGAAAACUGCAUCUGGGUCCACUUUUCUAAAUUAAGCUGUACCUGGUACUGUUUUUAUAUUUAGUUCAGAUAUAAAUAGUAUGUUUGCAUCUUGGUCUUCUUCCUGUCUUGAGUCUGUCUGCCCUUUUCUGUUUUCAGUCCUGUUUUAAUACAAGGUCUGUAUUGGGGUUCUUCUUUGUGUUUAGUCCAGAUACAGUAUGAAUCUACCUUCAUAACAUGAGGUCUGCAUGAGGAUCUUCUUCACCGUAUUAAGUCUGCAUACAGGUACUACUAUUUUGUAUGUAGUCCAGAUUAAAGUCCUUCUUUUUGGUAGGAGGUCUGCAUUCGGGUCCUUCUUGUAUUUAGUCCAGAUUUAAGCCCCCUUACUUGGUGUGAAAACUGUAUCUGAUUCCUUUUCUGUGUCUUGGUCCUCUCAGUCGUUAAUUAAAUCCUAAUUUGAUAAAGAGAAACCACAUUUUAAAGAGGACAAAGCCAAUUAUAAGAAUGUCUUAGAUAUACAAGAAAACAAAAUCAUGCAUAUUUGAUGCAAAGUGUGAACAUCCCUGACAAUCGAAAAUCAAGAUUUGCCUUUCAUUAUAAGGGGAUAUUGAAUAAUUUAACUCCUGCCCUUCUCAGUCUGAUAGCAUAUCUCUGUGCUGCUGCUGCUGCUGCUGCUCAGCCUUCACUCUGGGCCUGUGAUUAAAAUAAGACCGAAUGCCUGUAGUAACCUUGGAAAAUAAUUGGGUUAUUUUUCAGUGUGUGCGAAAGAAAGUGAAUUGUAAUAAUCUAUUUCACGCAACCCCAUCCCCCCACCCCCAUCCCCAUUUAUUUUCACUCCCUUUAGUUUCAUCAAGAAAUAACAUCCACUCACUGGCAGAAAUUUGCACUGAGAAGUAAUGUCCUCUCAAAAACUAUCCUUAAGCACUGGGAGAUUUGAUACCUCCAUAAAAGCAGAGUAUUUUAUGUGAAUUCAUCCACUCUGUUUCAGUGAGGUGACAAAAUAAACCAGCUCUUCUCUUGGCUCUGGGCCUGUCCUGGAAGUCGUUUAGCAUGCUGUCUGUAGCCCGAGUACAAGUCUAGAAACCGUGUUGUGUUUGUCUCUUGGGCCGCUGUCUCUGCCCCUUCACUUGGCAGCGGUGGACUGGGUGGGGUUUAGCUGCCACCGUGGAGCACCGGGCAUGCUCCUGGCUGCUAUUAGAGUUCAGUGUUCCAGCGAGCGGGCAUGAGGAGAAUGGACACAGAAUAAUGUAUGAAGGGCUUCAGAGCCGCCGCGGGUUAAAGUGCUGCAGAGUGUGGCUGACUGACUGACUGAGAGCGUUUGGGUAUGUGUGUGUGUGUGUGUCUAUGUGUAGGUUUGAGGUGGGCAUAAUAAAUUCACACAGACGGGAUUUCAAAUGGCAAAGUCUUUUUAUUUUUUAAAAAGAAGAGAGUGGGUGGUCCAUCUCAGACUGUCAUGCAUUUCUUUUUUCAUUUUCAGAAGGCUUCACAGAUAGCACAGCUUGCAAUUUAGAUGAACAGAUUUUGAGUCCAUUUGAAAGAGCGUGCGUUUGUUUUUAUAAUUGUCCC
RNAcentral lists this long non-coding RNA (2329 nucleotides) under Xyrichtys novacula (pearly razorfish). The record is from RNAcentral. Lineage: Eukaryota; Metazoa; Chordata; Actinopteri; Labriformes; Labridae.